Molecule: small nuclear RNA, 142 nt
Organism: Vulpes vulpes (red fox)
Lineage: Eukaryota; Metazoa; Chordata; Mammalia; Carnivora; Canidae
Gene: U1
Rfam family: U1 spliceosomal RNA
About the family: U1 is a small nuclear RNA (snRNA) component of the spliceosome (involved in pre-mRNA splicing). Its 5' end forms complementary base pairs with the 5' splice junction, thus defining the 5' donor site of an intron.
Source: Ensembl
UGACUGACCUUCAGGCAAUUUCUUAACCAUACUGAGCCAUAUCCAGUGCACUCCAAAUGAGCUGACACCUGCGAUGUCCUCAAGUGUGGGAGACUCGGCUGCAUCAUUUGUGGUAGUUGGGAGCUGCAUUCUGUCUUCCCUC